Molecule: non-coding RNA, 215 nt
Filed under: Phascolarctobacterium sp.
Lineage: Bacteria; Bacillati; Bacillota; Negativicutes; Acidaminococcales; Acidaminococcaceae
Description: T-box sequence
Rfam family: T-box leader
About the family: Uncharged tRNA acts as the effector for transcription antitermination of genes in the T-box leader family. T-boxes are found upstream of many aminoacyl-tRNA synthetase genes and some amino acid biosynthetic genes usually in Gram-positive bacteria.
Source: RNAcentral
AAAAAUGCAAUGAGCGGGAAAAUUUACCUGCCCCAGCAUCCAGAGAGACGGCGUAUGGUGCAAGCCGCCAGCAAGCAGGCAAAGAAGCUCACCCGCGAGCAGCUUCUCUGAACCAAGUAGGAGCAGACGUUUCCAGCACGUUACGCUGCCGAUUCGCUAAUCGGGAAAAUUAAGUACAACUUAGGGUGGUACCGCGAAAAAACUUCGCCCCUAUC